GAGUCUUCGGACUGCGGAAGAGUGGCGAACGGGUGAGGAACACGUAAGAAUCUGCCCCUCGGUCGGGGACAACUCUUGGAAACGAGAGCUAAUACCCGAUACGCUGUGGAGUGAAAGAAUUUCGCCGAGGGAUGAUCUUGCGUCUGAUUAGCUAGUUGGUGUGGUAACUGCACACCAAGGCGACGAUCAGUAGCUGGUCUGAGAGGAUGGACAGCCACAUUGGAACUGAGACACGGUCCAAACUCCUACGGGAGGCAGCAGUGGGGAAUUUUCCGCAAUGGACGAAAGUCUGACGGAGCGACGCUGCGUGAAGGAUGACGGCCCGCGGGUUGUAAACUUCUUUUCUCGAAGAAGAAACAAAUGACGGUAUUCGAGGAAUAAGCAUCGGCUAACUCCGUGCCAGCAGCCGCGGUAAGACGGAGGAUGCAAGUGUUAUUCGGAAUGAUUGGGCGUAAAGAGUCUGUAGGCUGUAUAGAAAGUCUUUUGUUAAAUUCCUCGGCUCAACCGAGAUCAAGCAAAGGAAACUUCUAUACUUGAGGGA
This 541-nucleotide ribosomal RNA is filed under the name uncultured Micromonas. Its description in RNAcentral is "bacterial SSU rRNA". It matches the Rfam family "Bacterial small subunit ribosomal RNA", at positions 74 to 649 of the family's 1533-position model. Lineage: Eukaryota; Viridiplantae; Chlorophyta; Mamiellophyceae; Mamiellales. The record is from RNAcentral.